GAGGGUAUAGCUCAAUCGGAUAGAGCAACGGCCUUCUAAGCCGUAGGUUUCGGGUUCGAGCCCCGAUAUCCUCUCCA
Molecule: transfer RNA, 77 nt
Filed under: Aeromonas hydrophila
Lineage: Bacteria; Pseudomonadati; Pseudomonadota; Gammaproteobacteria; Aeromonadales; Aeromonadaceae
Also listed under: 9 other names
Description: tRNA-Arg
Rfam family: tRNA
About the family: Transfer RNA (tRNA) molecules are approximately 80 nucleotides in length. Their secondary structure includes four short double-helical elements and three loops (D, anti-codon, and T loops).
Source: RNAcentral